AUCUUCAGAGACAGCAGAAUAGUGGCAGAAUGAGCCCAAUGGGGACAGCUAGUGGUUCCAACAGUCCUACCUCAGACUCUGCGUCUGUACAAAGAGCAGAUGCUACUUUAAACAACUGUGAAGGUGCUGCUGGCAGCACAUCUGAAAAAUCAAGAAAUGUGCCUGUGGCUGCCUUGCCUGUAACUCAACAAAUGACAGAAAUGAGCAUUUCAAGAGAGGACAAAAUAACCUCCCCGAAAACAGAGGUGUCAGAGCCAGUUGUCACUCAGCCCAGUCCAUCAGUUUCUCAGCCCAGUUCUUCUCAAAGUGAAGAAAAAGCUCCUGAGUUGCCCAAACCAAAGAAGAACAGAUGUUUUAUGUGUAGAAAGAAAGUUGGCCUUACAGGUAUUAACACAUAAUUCAUAUCUUAAAAGAGUCACUCUAAAAAGAACUAUUGAUUUUAUACAUCAAAAAAAUAAAUAUUCUAAGAUUUUUCAGAAAGGGUGGGCUAAUGGGUUAAGAAGAUGGACGUAAUUUCCAUCCACUUAAGUGUUGGCCUAGUUGUGUAAUUAUCAUUAACCUUGGGCCUUCUGAAUUAUUUUUCUUAUUUGGACUUUUCCUUUUGAUUCCUUCCUUUGAUACUUAGAGAAUAGAUAGCUGAGUUAACAGUAGUGAACACCUACUUGGAACCAGGAAUUAGAUGCUUUAGGUAUUUACCCAGAAUUUUAUAGUUGGUCAUGAAGUUUUUGGCUCGAUGUUCCUGUA
This 744-nucleotide long non-coding RNA is filed under the name Rattus norvegicus (Norway rat). RNAcentral's name for it is "long non-coding RNA NONRATT001597". Lineage: Eukaryota; Metazoa; Chordata; Mammalia; Rodentia; Muridae. The record is from RNAcentral.